This is a long non-coding RNA of Callithrix jacchus (white-tufted-ear marmoset), 4736 nucleotides long. RefSeq lists it as uncharacterized. The record is from RefSeq and is a predicted model, not a curated record. Lineage: Eukaryota; Metazoa; Chordata; Mammalia; Primates; Cebidae.
UCAUUCCACUCACGGGUCACCCAGGGCUCCUCUCUCAGCUCCUCUUUUCACAUCCAAUGCACCAGAAGAUAUCUGGGAGCCGCCCUCCUGUCCCUGCAUGGCUCUUGGGCCGGAGCAUGCUAGGGGUGGUGGGGGCCAGGGAAUGGCAUAAAGAGGGAAAUGGGGAGCAGAGCCUGGCUCUUUGCAGGACUCUUAAGUAUGAAUGGCCAUGGGGUGGUGAUGACAGGUGGUACCUGUGACUUAGUGGACGUGGGGCACUGAGAUAGGAAAAGGCCACUGGACCCCAACUGCGCCCUGGACCACAGGUUUCCUCCCCUGUCCUCUCCUGCCUCCAGACUGCCCUCUUUAGGCAGCCAGGGUGAAGUCUUCUGCUGCUCUUUUAAUUUUGAGAAUGUUCAAAUCCACUGAAAAGUACUAUGAACAUCAUAAACCAUUUAGAUUCUACAGUUGUUGACAUUUUGCCACACUGAUUGUGUCUUUGAAUAUAUUUACUUUUUAUUGCUGAAAAGUAAUUUGAAAACACCAUUGAACCUUGAAUAAUACAGAGAUUGGGGGCACUGACCUCUGUGCAGUUGAAAAUCAAAGCAUAACUUUUGACUUCCCUAAAAUUUGCUAAUAGCCUACUGGUGACUGGAAGCCUUAUGGAUAAUAUAAAUAGUCAACACAUAUUUUUUAUGUUAUGUGUUAUAUACUGUAUCCUUUUUUUUUUUUUUUUUGAGAUGGAGUUUCACUCUUAUUACCCAGGCUGGAGUGCAAUGGUGUGAUCUCGGCUCACCGCAACCUCCGCCUCCUGGGUUCAGGCAAUUCUCCUGCCUCAGCCUCCCGAGUAACUGGGAUUACGGGCUGCGCCACCAUGCCCAGCUAAGUUUGGUAUUUUUAGUAGAGACGGGGUUUCCCCAUGUUGACCAGGAUCGUCUCGAUCUCUUGACCUAGUGAUCCACCCGCCUCGGCCUCCCAAAGUGCUGGGAUUACAGGCGUGAGUCACUGCGUCCAGCCUUAUAUAUGCUAUUCUUAAAAGAAAAUGGUAUUCAGAAAAUAAUAAGAAAAUAUUUUAAUAUUCAUUAAGUGAAAAUGGAUUAUCCUCAUUGUCUUUACAUUGAGUAGGCUGAGGAGGAGGAGGAGGAAAAGGAGGGUUGGUCUUGCAAUCUGAGGGGUGACUGAGGUAGAAGAAAAUCCAAUUACAACUGAUCCUCGAAGUUCAAACCUGUGUUGUUCCAGGGUUAGCUGUAAUUUGCAGACAUCGUGACACUUCUUAGAUACUUCAGCCUGUUUCCUAGCAAUACCUUAUUUCAACUGAGAAAAUUAACAAUAAUCCCAUGGUCACAUAACUCUUAAUUCUCCAGUUGUCUCUAAAAUGCCUACAUAGCUGAAUUGUUCCCCUCUAAGUCAGAAGCUAAUCAAGGUUGUACAUUGCAUUUAAUUGUGUCUCUUCGGCGUUUUUUUUUUUUGAAACAAGGUCUCACUCUGUCCCCAAGGCUGGAGCACAGUAGUGUGGUGAUGGCUCAUUGCAUACUCAACCUCCCAGGCUCAGAGAUCAAGUCUCAACAUGUUGCCCAGGAGGAGCCCAGCCAUGGUGGCCUAGCCCCAGGUUUUCCAGUGUCCACACUCAGGGUUAUCUCCCAGCUGGAGCAGGGAAAAAUGCAUGGGUCAUUGCUCUGCCAGGACCUCCCUGCACAGAUUCUCAGAUCAAGACAAAGCAUAAACAAGCAACCCCAACAGAAAAAUCUUCUGAAGACAAUUACAAGGAGUAACUCAAGAAAUUUUCCUGAGAGGCAAUCCAGAGGAGUUUGAGUUUUGAUCAGCUUGUGGGAAUGAGACAGGAGCAGAACAUUACUGGAAAAAAUUAACAAUAAAGAGCAGGAUGAAGUUACUUUCCCAAAAGAGAGGUUUAAGGCAAGUGGUCAGCUCCCACUUCAAAACCAGUGCAGCAGAGAAAUAUCAGGAAUAUAACAAAUUGGAGAAAAGUUUGUGUCUGGACACAAAGCCUGUUGUACCUCUAAGGGACAGGCCAGGAGAGAGAGCCAGAGGAUGGAGAUUGGGUGGCUGAAGCUUUCCAUGUGAGUCAUGUGUGAGUAGACAUUAGGCAGUUACCAGUGGUCAAAGCCCCAUGGAUGUCAUGUGUGUGGGAAAUCUUUCAACAAGAACUCAAACCUUACUUGGCAUCAGAUAAUUCAUACUACAGAGAAGCCCUACGUAUGUAUCGAAUGUGGGAAAAAAUCACAACUCAAGCCUUACACAACAUCAGAAAAUUCACUGUGGAUGGUGAAAUCCCAUCUCUACUAAAAAUACAAAAAUUAGCUGGGUGUGGUGGUGCAUGCCUAUAAUCCCAGCUACUCAGGAGGCUGAGGCAGGAGAAUUGUUUGAACCAGGGAGGUGGAGGUUGCAGUGAACUGAGAUUGUGCCCUUGCACUCUACACUGGGUGACAGAGCAAGAUUCGACAUCUCAAAAGAAAAAAAAAGAGAAAGAAAAGAAAAUUCAUGGUGGAGAGAAACCCUGUGUGUAGUAAUGUGGCAAGGGCUUUAGGGAGACAUCAAAGCAUGUUAAAUAUCAGAGAAUUCAUACUGGAGAAAAGCCCUAUAGGUGGAAUGAAUGUGGCAGAGCCUUUAGUGAGAAUUCAAACCUUAUUAAACACCAACUGAUACAUAUUGGAGAGAAGCCCUAAAAAUGUAGAGUGUGGGAAAGCUUUUAAUCUGAAAGCAAAUCCCAUGCAGUAUCAGAGAAUUCAUAUAGGAGAGAAACUUUUCCUUUUUUUUUUUUUUUUUUUUUUUAGUGCCACAAAUCAGAUACGAAGAGAGAAACUUUCUGAAUGUAAAGAGUGUAGAAAAGUUACAACCAGCCAUCACACUUGAUUCAUAAUCAAAGGCUGCAUUAUUGAGAGAAGCCCUAGAAAUGCAAUGAGUAUGGAAGGGGCUUCAAACAUCAUACCUGAUUGAUCACCAAAGAAUACACACUGGAGGGAAAACUUACACAUGUGUUAUGUGUGGGAGAGGCUUUAUUCAGAUGUCACACUUGAUUCAUCACCACAGAACACAUUUCUGUAGAGAAGCCACAUGCAUGUGGUGAAUGUGGGAUAUGGUUCAACCAGCGCUCAACCCUUAUUAGACAUUAGGUUAUUCACACCAUGGAUACCAAGUAUAAGUUAAAGGAAUCUGGGCAGGCUUUCAUUGUGAGCUAGCUUCUCAGUCACUAUCUCACAAAUCCUACCUAAGAGGAACCCCUCAAUUCACACAGGAGGGAAAAGCAUCCAAGAAUGCAACAGAGGUGGGAAGCCUUUCAUUGUAACUCAUUAUACAAUGUCUGGAAGUUCCUAUUGGAGAAAACCCCCAUGGAUGUAAUGAAUGUUGAAAAAGCAUUUAUUUGGAACUCACAUUAUUUACAAUGAGAUGAUUCAUACAGGAUAUAAUGGAUAUAAGUGAGGCUUUGGUGUACUAUGGGAAGUAGGUGGAAAUUUGGGUUCCUGCUGUUGCCAUCUGCUCCCUUUUGAAUAAAGUGCCCUAGCAGGUGUUUGCCUCAGGGUGGUCAUGCUCUGUAGGGAAUCUUGCUUUAUACCAGGACUGUGAGAUGGAGACAAAGACAGCAUUAUUCCUGGCUGGGAAUGCCAUUGGAAAUGCUAGGGGAGGCCAGUGGUCCAUGUUGUGGUCUGAUCCCAAAUAUGCAGAAGCCAGAAGUAGAGACCAGACCCAGAGAGAAGCAGAUAAACGCAAUCCCCAAAGUGAAUGCACAGGAAAAUGGAAAACUGCAAGAGUUGGUGUUGGGUCCCCAGAGCUGCCUUUUUAUCCUGAACAAUAAGCAAUGAAUGACUCAAGGUCUUCAUGAAACCAGGGAAUAGCUGAGGCAGCUUCCUAAACCUCUGCACUGUUUCUUAAGUCUAACAUGUAGAAUGGGUGUCAGCUGUGCCAACAUGUAGGAUAUGUAUUUUCUUUUUUUUGAGACGGAGUUUCGCUCUUGUUACCCAGGCUGGAGUGCAAUGGCGUGAUCUCGGCUCACCGCAACCUCCACCUCCUGGGUUCAGGCAAUUCUCCUGCCUCAGCCUCCUGAGUAGCUGGGAUUACAGGCAUGCACCACCAUGCCCAGCUAAUUUUUUGUAUUUUUAGUAGAGACAGGGUUUCACCAUGUUGACCAAGAUCGUCUCGAUCUCUUGACCUCGUGAUCCACCCGCCUUGGCCUCCCAAAGUGCUGGGAUUACAGGCUUGAGCCACCGCGCCCGGCCAGGAUCUGUAUUUUAAUCAGAAGGCAAUCUAAUGUGGCUACUGGCUAUAGUGAAAACUUCAUUCUAAAGUCAAGGAUUUUAACAUAAGCUGCUGAAGGCGUAUGUUGAAAUAAUUUUUAAAAUGAAAUCAAGGCUGGACACAGUGGCUUAUGCCUGUAAUCCCAGCACUUUGGGAGGCCAAGAUGGAUCCCUUGAUGCCAGGAGUUUGAGAUCAGCUUGGCAAAAUGGUGAGGCCCCCAUCUCUACAAAGAAAAUUAGCCAAGCAUGGUUGUGGGCACCUGCCAUCCCAGCUACUUGGGACGCUGAGGUGGGAGGGUCAUUUGAACCUAGGAGUUUAAGGCUGGAGUGAGCCUCGAUUGUGUGACUGUACUCUGCCCUGGGCAACACAGUGAGACUGUCCCAAAAAUAUGUGUGUUAAAAGAUUGCUUAUGUCUAGUUCAUACCUCCUAAAGGUAAUUUGAAUUAAAAUAAUGAUGCAUACAGUAAGGUCAUUAAAGUAGAAAAAAAUAAAGGAUUAUAAAGCCA